RNAcentral lists this long non-coding RNA (2731 nucleotides) under Homo sapiens (human). RNAcentral describes it as "HSALNT0376623". The record is from RNAcentral. Lineage: Eukaryota; Metazoa; Chordata; Mammalia; Primates; Hominidae.
GCACACGCUCACCGCCUCCCUGCGCGCCGCGGAACACAGCGCCCCGCCCGCUGGCCACCGCGCUGGGGCGAGUCCGCAGUUCAGGCGCGAGGCAAGCAGCCGAGGUCCGGGGCUGCGGCCGCGGCCGGGGCGGACCCGGGAGCUGGGCUUCCCAAAGCGUCGCGUGUGGGCAACGGCGGCCUCCUGGCCGCGUGGAACUGAGCCCUGCGCUGCAGCAUGAAGGCGGCGGCGGCGGCGGCGGCGGGCGCGCGGCCGUGAGCUCAGCCCGCGCUGCAGUGACGGGAGCGGCCGUGUCGGCCAGACCCCGAGAGUCCGUGAGACCCCGGCCGGGGCCGCUCCGCUGCUGUCAGCCCUCGGGCCUCCCAGCCAGACUGGUUCUGAACCGAUUUAUCAGGGGGUUGCGGAGAGGGCCGGCGAAGCGCCAGGAAAUCCCCAGGCUGAGGAGGCGCGGGGGCGUUGCAGGAAGGGGGAAGGGAAAAGGCAGAAAACCUGGAGAAUGAAAGCGAACUUCCAGGGGCGUCCCCAGCCUCCUGCAAAAGGGCAAUUUGCUGAUCGCCCACUUCCUCGCAGUUACGGGAUAGAGAGAAUCAUCACUGAGUCAAGCUUCGGCUGCUUAGGGCGGUGGGAAAAGUCAUUAUCUAUAAUAACCCGCCGGAAAUUUUGAGGAGAGCUACUGACUUGGGGGUUUCAGUCAUCUGAGGCUGGCUUCCGCUGUCCCCUUAGUUGUGGGUGGUGAUUUGCUUACUAAUCAGAUGGGAGCGGAUUCUGAAAAGAACAUUUAUAUUUGGGAAUCAACUCAGCUCAGCAUCAGACAUUACGAAUACUGCAGUUGGUCACAUUUUACUAUGUGAAGGGCAGAAAGGGAGCCCAACAGUCUUCAUAAGCCAGACCUAGUCUCUAAGGUCACCGGCACAGACGCAGGGUCUAAAGCAGGAAAGAGGUGCGACUGGAAAGGAGGUUAGACAGGGCCCUGCGGGAAUGGAUCUGCCCGGAGCCCUCGCCUGGUUUUGCUUGAGACUCCGACAAGACUCCCAAUGCUUCUCUCCCCGACCCUAUCCCCACUCCCUCCAUCCUGGAAAAGCCAGUGAGCAAAGUUAACUCUUUCUUCUAAGAAACCCUGAGUGAAAUCUUGCUCUUCCUUUCUGCUAGAGUCCUGAAACCCUUUCGCUUCUCAUUGUGGGUUCACCAGCACGUGGUCUUCGGACACUGAGAGCACCUUCGCUCUCAGCUGUGAUCCUAGCUAGCCCAGACACCAGUCUGUACCCAAAGGAAGAGUAGGAAGUUGCAAAGGGAAGCUGGCUAACAAGGGCUUCUUCUGCCCUACUUGGCAAAGGCCCAUACGGGUGGCCUCCGUGGAUAUGGAGCUCCUUCAUUUUGUUCCAAAAAGAGCUCUGCCAGGCUUUACCAUUGCCCUGGAGGUGCACAGGCGCCCGUAUACUCGAGCACAACCAUGGGCUCACCCCAAGCGCGCACACCUGCACCCACGCGUAAGGAAGAACCACACAGCUAUCUCUGUCGGGGAAGAACACGAGGAGUGAAGUGCUUUAGGUGGAAACUCCUCACAUCUCCUUUCUUUCCUCUGCUCCCCCUCUCUGCCCCUGGUACUCCGGAUCCAAUCCUUGGCUUAGGAAUCCACUCAAGCCACGUCUGGCUGCUUUGUUCCAGAGGAGCGCAGCUCCGAGACUGCACUUCAGCGGUGCAGCCUCCCUCCAGGUCGGCGAGCGGCGCCAGAUCCGGGACUUCAGGGUCUCCGCGGGAGCUUAGGAGGCUCAGGAUCUGAGUUGGAGAGCUGGAAGGCCAAACUCCGAGCCGCUGAGGGACUGCGCAGGAAGACCACAGAAAUAAACCAAAGGGACACCGCGGACAGAUGUACCAGAGGACACCACUGAAGUCCAGGAGAAUCUCCACCAAAACCAUCAGCGUUUUCCUUGUAGCUUUCUGUCCCUCGAAGUGGAAAGUUGAGGUUUCUGAGAAGUCCACGGAGAGAACCUGCAGCAAACUGAAGCCACAGACUCCGAAGGCAUAGGGAGAAAAAAUGCUUCCAUCCCCCUUUCACUUUAAACUUGAUCGCUUCUGGGACUUCACUGGAGGGCGGUGGAGUUGCACCAACCUGGAGUACAGGCAGAUCCCAGCGAGCACUUCCAAGUACUUUAGGACGUGGGGGUGACUCUUUUUUCUUCAGGAUUGUCCCACUUGCCACCCUUUCCAGCUGAGCUGAUAGGAACCAAUGAAAGUCUAGGCGAUGAGGAUUUUCCGUUACCUCAGGGAUCAAAGUAUAAAAUGUUGAAUGAGAAACCCGAAGACCUUGCAUCGCUGGGCUGAAUAACUUGUUUUCUUUUUUAUGGUGUCCAGACUGAGUUCAUUUUUCUGAGGACCAAUGGUGAUAAGUGUUGGUCUGCCUAUCUUCCCAGAAUAAUCCAAGAUUUGGGGAAAGAAAGAGUAUUUUGCUAAUUUCAGUUUUCUUUCACAUUAAAAAGUUCAACGUAUCUAGAACGGAACAAAACGGAGAAAGCAAAGAAUAAAGCAAAGAAACAUAUAUUGGGGAAAGGAUACUGUAUUCAGUAAAUUGUGCUGGAAAAAGUGGUAAGCCACAUGUAGAAGAAUGAAACUGGAUCCCCAGCUCUCACCUAAUACAAAAAUCGACUCAAGAUGCAUCAAAGACUUAAAUAUAAAACCUGAAACCUUGAAAAUUCUAGAAGAUAACACCAGAAAAACUCUUCUAAAUGUUGGC